GGGCCCUUAGCUCAGUCGGUAGAGCAACUGACUUUUAAUCAGUAGGUCGCUGGUUCGAAUCCAGCAGGGCUCACCA
RNAcentral lists this transfer RNA (76 nucleotides) under Erythrobacter sp. RNAcentral describes it as "tRNA-Lys". It matches the Rfam family "tRNA". Rfam says of the family: Transfer RNA (tRNA) molecules are approximately 80 nucleotides in length. Their secondary structure includes four short double-helical elements and three loops (D, anti-codon, and T loops). Further hydrogen bonds mediate the characteristic L-shaped molecular structure. tRNAs have two regions of fundamental functional importance: the anti-codon, which is responsible for specific mRNA codon recognition, and the 3' end, to which the tRNAs corresponding amino acid is attached (by aminoacyl-tRNA synthetases). tRNAs cope with the degeneracy of the genetic code in two manners: having more than one tRNA (with a specific anti-codon) for a particular amino acid; and 'wobble' base-pairing, i.e. permitting non-standard base-pairing at the 3rd anti-codon position. The record is from RNAcentral. RNAcentral also lists the same sequence under 190 other names. Lineage: Bacteria; Pseudomonadati; Pseudomonadota; Alphaproteobacteria; Sphingomonadales; Erythrobacteraceae.